Molecule: ribosomal RNA, 440 nt
Filed under: uncultured bacterium
Lineage: Bacteria
Description: partial 16S ribosomal RNA
Rfam family: Bacterial small subunit ribosomal RNA
Source: RNAcentral
CCUACGGGAGACAGCAGUGGGGGAUAUUGCACAAUGGGGGAAACCCUGAUGCAGCGACGCCGCGUGGGUGAAGAAGCGCCUCGGCGCGUACAGCCCUGUCAGCAGGGAAGAAAAUGACGGUACCUGAAGAAGAAGCCCCGGCUAACUACGUGCCAGCAGCCGCGGUAAUACGUAGGGGGCAAGCGUUAUCCGGAUUUACUGGGUGUAAAGGGGGCGCAGACGGCGAUGCAAGCCAGGAGUGAAAGCCCGGGGCCCAACCCCGGGACUGCUCUUGGAACUGCGUGGCUAGAGUGCAGGAGGGGCAGGCGGAAUUCCUAGUGUAGCGGUGAAAUGCGUAGAUAUCAGGAGGAACACCGGUGGCGAAGGCGGCCUGCUGGACUGCAACUGACGUUGAGGCCCGAAAGCGUGGGGAGCAAACAGGAUUAGAUACCCUUGUAGUC